RNAcentral lists this ribosomal RNA (468 nucleotides) under uncultured bacterium. RNAcentral's name for it is "partial 16S ribosomal RNA". It matches the Rfam family "Bacterial small subunit ribosomal RNA", at positions 28 to 507 of the family's 1533-position model. The record is from RNAcentral.
GACGAACGCUGGCGGCGUGCUUAACACAUGCAAGUCGAACGGAAAGGCCCUGCUUUUGUGGGGUGCUCGAGUGGAGAAGGGGUGAGUAACACGUGAGUAAGCUGCCCUUGACUUUGGGAUAACUUAAGGAAACUGGGGGUAAUAGCGGAAAGGAGCUCCUGCUGUAUGGUGGGGGUUGGAAGGUUUCGGCGGUUGGGGAUGGACUCGCGGCUUAUCAGCUUGUUGGUGGGGUAGUGGCUUACCAAGGCUUUGACGGGUAGCCGGCCUGAUAUGGUGACCGGCCACAUUGGGACUGAGAUACGGCCCAGACUCCUACGGGACGCAGCAGUGCGGAAUAUUGCACAAUGGGCGGAAGCCUGAUGCAGCAACGCCGCGUGCGGGAUGACGGCCUUCGGGUUGUAAUCCGCUUUCGCCUGUGACGAAGCGUGAGUGACGGUAAUGGGUAAAGAAGCACCGGCUAACUACGUG